Molecule: long non-coding RNA, 974 nt
Filed under: Homo sapiens (human)
Lineage: Eukaryota; Metazoa; Chordata; Mammalia; Primates; Hominidae
Description: non-protein coding lnc-TRIM55-1:9
Rfam family: tRNA (bases 121-213)
Source: RNAcentral
CCGGCUCUGGGGCUCUGCGCUCCUCGGAUUACGCAUGCUCAGUGCAAUCUUCGGUUGCCUGGACUAGCGCUCCGGUUUUUCUGUGCUGAACCUCAGGGGACGCCGACACACGUACACGUCCCUUCGAUAGCUCAGCUGGUAGAGCGGAGGACUGUAGCUACUUCCUCAGCAGGAGACAUCCUUAGGUCGCUGGUUCGAUUCCGGCUCGAAGGAGACAAGUGCGGUUUUUUUCUCCAGCUCCCGAUGACUUAUGGCACUUUCCUUGGGUGCCUUCAGUGACACAUUGCAUUCCAACGAGCAGUUUGAAAGUCUAGCGCUUUCUCCCCAUUUUGGGCCUCCCAGCCUGCACGGGACUCAUCUGAGGCUAAGCUGCCCAUAGUUCGGGGAGACCCACAGGGAAAACAAAACAAGAAACAGAGAACUUGGAAACGGACGCUGAUUACUUUGAACGUUUGCUCAACCGAGGAAGCAGGAACUGUUCGGCCCCAUCUCAAGUCCGCAGGGCGGACUGCCUGGCUCUGGGCAGAUCCGAGGUGGAUAGGACAAGGCAAAAGGUAGCCCUGGAGAGGUGAGUGGAUAAAGUCCCUGGACACAGGGGCUGCCGUUGGAGGAGGUUGUAAUGUCAUUGUCCUCCUGUGGAAGUUAACUGUGGAGAAUUAACUAGAGACCAGCGCUGAGAGAGAAUUAAUUGGAUAAAAGUUCUAUCUAGGACAGUCCUUGAGCGUAAUUUUGUGAAGCAAACACAAGACAACAACAAAACGAGUAAAACCUAAACACACAUCCACACACUCACUGAAAGAUUCAGAGAUUGCACAGAACACAAAGACUUUUCUGGUAAUAAAAUCUCCCUAUCCUAAUUUUCUAGAAAAAAAGCUGUUGAAGCCACCGCGCAGUUCUUACAAGACAUAACACAAAUCUUCCACACAAAGGCAGAAAUACAGUAUCAACCUUUGUGAGGAGUACAGCAAAUAAAU